UGGGGAAUCUUGCGCAAUGGGCGAAAGCCUGACGCAGCAACGCCGCGUGAGCGAAGAAGGCCUUCGGGUUGUAAAGCUCUUUCGGUUGGGAAGAAGGUGUGAGGGGUGAAUAAUCUCUGACAUGGAUGGUACCAAAAGAAGAAGCACCGGCUAACUUCGUGCCAGCAGCCGCGGUAAUACGAAGGGUGCAAGCGUUGUUCGGAAUCAUUGGGCGUAAAGGGUUCGUAGGCGGGAGCUUAAGUUUGUUGUGAAACCCCUGGGCUCAACCUGGGACGUGCAGCGAAGACUGGGUUUCUUGAGUAGCGGAGAGGACAAGGGAAUUGCUGGUGUAGGAGUGACAUCCGUAGAGAUCAGCAGGAACACCGGAGGCGAAGGCGCUUGUCUGGCCGCGCACUGACGC
This 400-nucleotide ribosomal RNA is filed under the name uncultured bacterium. RNAcentral's name for it is "bacterial SSU rRNA". It matches the Rfam family "Bacterial small subunit ribosomal RNA", at positions 355 to 746 of the family's 1533-position model. The record is from RNAcentral.